Molecule: ribosomal RNA, 406 nt
Filed under: uncultured bacterium
Lineage: Bacteria
Description: partial 16S ribosomal RNA
Rfam family: Bacterial small subunit ribosomal RNA
Source: RNAcentral
AUUGAACGCUGGCGGCAGGCCUAACACAUGCAAGUCGAACGAGUGGCGGACGGGUGAGUAAUGUCUGGGAAACUGCCCGAUGGAGGGGGAUAACUACUGGAAACGGUAGCUAAUACCGCAUACCAUCGGAUGUGCCCAGAUGGGAUUAGCUUGUAGGUGAGGUAACGGCUCACCUAGGCGACGAUCCCUAGCUGGUCUGAGAGGAUGACCAGACACACUGGAACUGAGACACGGUCCAGACUCCUAGGGGAGUCAGCAGGGGGGAAUAGUGAACAAUGGGCGCAAGCCUGAUGCAGCCAUGCCGCGUGUAUGAAGAAGGCUUUCGGGUUGUAAAGUACUUGCAGCGGGGAGGCGUUACCCGCAGAAGAAGCACCGGCUAACUCCGUGCCAGCCGCCUCUGUAAUAC